This 881-nucleotide ribosomal RNA is filed under the name uncultured bacterium. RNAcentral describes it as "bacterial SSU rRNA". It matches the Rfam family "Bacterial small subunit ribosomal RNA", at positions 68 to 931 of the family's 1533-position model. The record is from RNAcentral.
GGAUAUUUUGGGUAGCAAUAUUCAAAAUGUUCAGUGGCGCANGGGUGCGUAACACGUGGGCAAUCUGCCCGGAGACGCGGGAUAGCUCGGCGAAAGUCGAAUUAAUACCGCAUGUGGCUACUGAGGGAUUCCUCGGGACGCUAAAGAUGGCGCAAGCUGUCAUUUCCGGAUGAGCCCGCGGCCUAUCAGCUAGUUGGUGAGGUAAAAGCUCACCAAGGCUAUGACGGGUAGCUGGUCUGAGAGGACGACCAGCCACACUGGAACUGAGACACGGUCCAGACACCUACGGGUGGCAGCAGUCGAGAAUUUUUCUCAAUGGGGGAAACCCUGAAGGAGCGACGCCGCGUGGAGGAUGAAGGUCUUCGGAUUGUAAACUCCUGUCAUUUGGGAACAACUAUGCGGUUUAACUGACUGCAAAACGAUAGUACCAGAAGAGGAAGGGACGGCUAACUCUGUGCCAGCAGCCGCGGUAAUACAGAGGUCUCAACCGUUGUUCGGAUUCAUUGGGCGUAAAGGGUGCGUAGGCGGUCUCGUAAGUCAGAUGUGAAAUCCCAGGGCUCAACCCUGGAACUGCAUUUGAUACUGCGAGGCUAGGAUACUGGAGAGGAGACUGGAAUUUACGGUGUAGCAGUGAAAUGCGUAGAUAUCGUAAGGAAGACCAGUGGCGAAGGCGAGUCUCUGGACAGUUAUCGACGCUGAGGCACGAAGGCUAGGGGAGCAAACGGGAUUAGAUACCCCGGUAGUCCUAGCAGUAAACGGNGCACGUUUGGNGUAGGAGGAUUCGACCCCUCCUGUGCCGGAGCUAACGCGUUAAACGUGCCGCCUGGNAAGUACGGUCGCAAGAUUAAAACUCAAGAAAUUGACGGGGGCCCGCACAAGCG